Molecule: ribosomal RNA, 439 nt
Filed under: uncultured bacterium
Lineage: Bacteria
Description: partial 16S ribosomal RNA
Rfam family: Bacterial small subunit ribosomal RNA
Source: RNAcentral
CUACGGGCUGCUGCAGUGGGGAAUAUUGCACAAUGGAGGAAACUCUGAUGCAGCAACGCCGCGUGGAGGAUGACACAUUUCGGUGCGUAAACUCCUUUUAUGUGAGAAGAUAAUGACGGUAUCACAUGAAUAAGCACCGGCUAACUCCGUGCCAGCAGCCGCGGUAAUACGGAGGGUGCAAGCGUUACUCGGAAUCACUGGGCGUAAAGCGCGCGCAGGCGGCUUUUCAAGUUGGAUGUGAAAUCCUAUGGCUUAACCAUAGAACUGCAUCCAAAACUGUUAGGCUAGAGUCUGGGAGGGGACGAUGGAAUUAGUUGUGUAGGGGUAAAAUCCGUAGAGAUAACUAGGAAUACCAAAAGCGAAGGCGAUCUUCUGGAACAGUACUGACGCUGAGGCGCGAAAGCGUGGGGAGCAAACAGGAUUAGAUACCCCUGUAGUC